AGGGCUGGGGGGUGUUGCGGUCUGCGGGGCUGGGUGCCGCCCACCACCUCUCGGUCCCUUGGUCUCAGCUCCCAAAAGUCUGCCACGGCCAGAGGGGCCGAGGCCUGGCCAGAGGCGAUUUUAAGGCCCCUCCUCAAGCUCCUCUAGCAGCUGUAGCCCUAAAAACGCUACCCUUUCUCCCCGCUGCUGAAGCCUUAGACGGUUUUGUAAGAAUUUUAAUACGUGAGAACUUCUCCUUACCACGACUGUGGACUCCUCUUCCAGGUCCAGAUGGGCGCCCGGUUCCUGGGCCCUAGUGCAUUCUGUUGGGUGGGGGCAUCCUGGCGUCACGUACACACAUACAUGCAUGUACAGGUAAAAAUGUGUGUGACAGAGAGCGCCGUUCUCUCUUCUGGUUGACACUAUACCAGUAGGGACUUAACAUCCUUUGGUAGUGAGCGGUGAGGCCAUGCACAGGCUUUCCAAGAGCAUUCUCGGGAGCUCAUGGGUGGGUCUAUAAGGAUUCCUCCAAGUGGGGAUUCUGGCCGAAGGUGAGCCUGUGUUCGUGGGGACAGAUGGAACCGAACUGCUCUCCACACAAGAUGCCGCGCUGUCAACUGAGCAGACUGGGCGCCAGCACUUCCUCAUUCCUCUGCGCAUGUGAGGGGACAGUGGUCCCGUCACCCCCUGAUCACAGACAUGACCGAUCCUCUCAGAAUCUCUGAGUCUAUUUCUAGUUCCUCUUCCGUCCUCCCCUGCUCCGGUCCUGCUCCCGCUUUCGGGUCAUCAUGAGUGACCUGGUCACUCCCCGUCCCUCCUGCACGCGCCAAGGGAGCUCAAUAAACAUUUGCUGGAUGAAUAAAUCGACAAGUGCUGAGCACCUGCCACAUGAAAGCGCUUGGCUUUCCACCUGAGGAAGGGCUGCCAGCACCACCUCUCCAAAACACGUGUGAUCAUGUCACCCAAGCCACCAAUGAAGAAAAAAUAAGACUCCCUGUCUGGGAGUUCCCACUGCGGUGCAACGGGAUCCACAGCGUCUCGGGAGCGCUGGGACGCAAGUUCGAUCCCCGGCCCACACAGUGGGUUAAGGACACAGCAUUCCUCCAACUGUGGCUUAGGUCGAAACUGUGCCUCGGAUCUGAUCCCUGGCCCCGGAACACCAUGUGCCACGGGCGGCAAAACAAACCAACCUGCUUCUAGACUGAACAGGCGGAGGCAGGCCUGAGUGACGUGGGCUGGCCUGGGGCCCACUGCAUUCUCUCUUGGUGGGGAGCUCAUUUCGCCCAAUUGCUCCUGACUGGACCAGCAAAACCUGCGAUUCCACAGCGCCAUGCAGGCUGCAGCUCACGCACCUGUACCUGCUCACACGUCUCGGAGGGGAACACACUCCCUCAUCCCCAGUGGAGGAGCCACUGCUGGGCAGGGCCGGGCGGCCCCCAAAGCCACGCUUGCCCUCAGAGACAUGCAAGAGGCAGACUAGAGGUUCCCCUGGCGAGCGGGGACUGGGCCACAGGAGGCGGAUGGUGCUGGUGACCCUGGAGGAACAGUUUCAAGAAAUUCACCUGGGGCAGGAAAGGCUAAGGAGGCAAAUGGCCGGGCAGACAGCAUGCCGGGGGUUUCGCUCCAGUGCUUUAAGGUGGCAGAGACUGAGCUGAAUCCCGAUGAUGAGAGGGAAAGGCUGGGGGUGGGGAGGGCAGAGGGCCCAACCUCCGUGGUAGCGGUGGAAGGGGAGGUGGGGGUGAGGGAGGAGGCCCAGGCUCUGGCCAUGCGACAGGUCCUGCCCCUGCGGCUUCUGUUUUCUCUGUGAGGGAGGCCGUGGGCUCAUCUCUGAGACAUGGGAGGUGGGGCCAGAGGUUUGAGGAGACUGCA
RNAcentral lists this long non-coding RNA (1848 nucleotides) under Sus scrofa (pig). Its description in RNAcentral is "lncRNA (ENSSSCG00070017369.1)". Lineage: Eukaryota; Metazoa; Chordata; Mammalia; Artiodactyla; Suidae. The record is from RNAcentral.